RNAcentral lists this ribosomal RNA (760 nucleotides) under Saccharothrix xinjiangensis. RNAcentral describes it as "bacterial SSU rRNA". It matches the Rfam family "Bacterial small subunit ribosomal RNA", at positions 92 to 867 of the family's 1533-position model. Lineage: Bacteria; Bacillati; Actinomycetota; Actinomycetes; Pseudonocardiales; Pseudonocardiaceae. The record is from RNAcentral.
CGAGCGGCGAACGGGUGAGUAAACGUGGGUAACCUGCCCUGUACUCUGGGAUAAGCCUGGGAAACUAGGUCUAAUACCGGAUAUGACCGUCACGGGCAUCCGUGGUGGUGGAAAGUUCCGGCGGUACGGGAUGGGCCCGCGGCCUAUCAGCUUGUUGGUGGGGUAGUGGCCUACCAAGGCGACGACGGGUAGCCGGCCUGAGAGGGUGACCGGCCACACUGGGACUGAGACACGGCCCAGACUCCUACGGGAGGCAGCAGUGGGGAAUAUUGCACAAUGGGCGCAAGCCUGAUGCAGCGACGCCGCGUGAGGGAUGACGGCCUUCGGGUUGUAAACCUCUUUCAGCAGGGACGAAGCGCGAGUGACGGUACCUGCAGAAGAAGCACCGGCUAACUACGUGCCAGCAGCCGCGGUAAUACGUAGGGUGCGAGCGUUGUCCGGAAUUAUUGGGCGUAAAGAGCUCGUAGGCGGUUUGUUGCGUCGGCCGUGAAAACUUCACGCUUAACGUGGAGCCUGCGGUCGAUACGGGCAGACUUGAGUUCGGCAGGGGAGACUGGAAUUCCUGGUGUAGCGGUGAAAUGCGCAGAUAUCAGGAGGAACACCGGUGGCGAAGGCGGGUCUCUGGGCCGAUACUGACGCUGAGGAGCGAAAGCGUGGGGAGCGAACAGGAUUAGAUACCCUGGUAGUCCACGCCGUAACGGUGGGUGCUAGGUGUGGGGGGCUUCCACGUCCUCCGUGCCGCAGCUAACGCAUUAAGCAC